RNAcentral lists this ribosomal RNA (564 nucleotides) under Pseudomonas sp. 3-2005. RNAcentral describes it as "bacterial SSU rRNA". It matches the Rfam family "Bacterial small subunit ribosomal RNA", at positions 116 to 676 of the family's 1533-position model. The record is from RNAcentral. Lineage: Bacteria; Pseudomonadati; Pseudomonadota; Gammaproteobacteria; Pseudomonadales; Pseudomonadaceae.
CCUAAGAAUCUGCCUGGUAGUGGGGGAUAACGUUCGGAAACGGACGCUAAUACCGCAUUCGUCCUACUGGAGAAAGCAGGGGACCUUCUGGCCUUGCGCUUUCUCAUGAUCCUAGGUCGGAUUACCUAGUUGGUGAGGUAAUGGCUCACCAAGGCUACCAUCCAUAACUGGUCUGAGAUGAUGAUCAUUCACGCUGGAGCUGAGACACUGUCCAGACUCCUACCGGAGGUAGCAGUGGGGAAUAUUGGACAAUGGGCGAAAGCCUGAUCCAGCCAUGCCGCGUGUGUGAAGAAGGUCUUCGGAUUGUAAAGCACUUUAAGUUGGGAGGAAGGGCAUUAACCUAAUACGUUAGUGUUUUGACGUUACCGACAGAAUAAGCACCGGCUAACUCUGUGCCAGCAGCCGCGGUAAUACAGAGGGUGCAAGCGUUAAUCGGAAUUACUGGGCGUAAAGCGCGCGUAGGUGGUUCGUUAAGUUGGAUGUGAAAUCCCCGGGCUCAACCUGGGAACUGCAUUCAAAACUGUCGAGCUAGAGUAUGGUAGAGGGUGGUGGAAUUUCCUGUGU